This is an RNA transcript of Temnothorax curvispinosus, 7962 nucleotides long. It is a transcript of the gene named heterogeneous nuclear ribonucleoprotein 27C, with no coding region annotated. The transcript is spliced from 8 exons. The record is from RefSeq and is a predicted model, not a curated record. NCBI's taxonomy places the organism in Eukaryota, Metazoa, Arthropoda, Insecta, Hymenoptera, Formicidae.
UUCGUUACGUUUACAUUCUGUUCCCGACGUCGCGUUGUGCGGAGCCAUUACCCUCGUCCGCGCUAAAGCAUCGUGCCAUAUUCCCACUCGCGCCCUGAAAUUGACCGCGUUCUCGUAGUUUUAAGUGAAAUAUUAUGAGAGUGAAGACCGAAAUGGACGACGACGAAAAGGGAAAAUUGUUUGUUGGUGGAUUAUCAUGGGAGACAACCCAAGAAAAUCUCCAACGUUACUUCGGCCGUUAUGGUGAAGUCAUCGAUUGUGUUGUUAUGAAAAACAGCGAAUCUGGUCGCAGUCGUGGAUUUGGAUUUGUAACAUUCAGCGAUCCCGCUAAUGUUUCUCUGGUCCUUCAAAAUGGUCCCCACCAGCUUGAUGGACGUACGAUUGAUCCAAAACCGUGUAAUCCGCGUACUCUACAAAAGCCAAAACGCAGCGGUGGUUUCCCGAAAGUCUUUCUUGGUGGCUUGCCAAGUAACGUGACGGAGACUGACUUAAGAUCCUAUUUUACUCGCUUUGGUAAAGUCAUGGAAGUAGUCAUAAUGUAUGAUCAGGAGAAGAAGAAAUCAAGAGGAUUCGGCUUUCUCAGUUUUGAGGAUGAAGAAGCAGUGGACCGAUGUGUCGCAGAACAUUUUGUCAACCUGAAUGGAAAGCAGGUUGAAAUUAAAAGGGCAGAACCGCGGGAUUCAUCAAGCAAAAUGAACGAUAGUCAUCAGGGUCAGUGGGGCCCACCUCAACAGGGUGGCCCACCGAUGGGAAUGGCCGGAAAUAUGGGGCCUAUGGGUGGACCGAACGGGCAGAUGGGUGGGCCCAUGAUGGGAGGACCCAUGGGUCCGCCUGGUAAUAUGAUGCAACAAUAUCAGGGUUGGGGUACCAAUCCGCCAACCGGUGGAUACGCGGGUUACAGCACCCAGUACAAUGCUCAGGGCUGGGGCGCACCACCAGGACCGCCGCAGCAGCAGCAAAUCCCGCCGCCGCCGCCGCAUCAAUGGGGUGCUAGCAGUUAUAACGUUCAACCUACUGCAGCUACCCAAGGUUACGGAAGCUAUGGUGGGCCGGCGGCGGCCGCUUCAGGGGGCUACGGGCCCACGGCGGGUACUGGCGGGGCUGCGGGAGGCGGGCCUGGGGGCUCCUGGAGCUCCUGGAACAUGCCACAGAAUGGGCCUCCUCCUGGGACCCAGCCCCCACCCCAGCCCCCUCAGCCCAACUCCUCGCAGCCCAACUCCAACUCGAACCCCUCUGGCCCGCAGGGUGACAUGUAUUCGCGGCAAAAUACCGGUUCUGGUGCGCCGGGAUCCAGCAGCAGUUCGACCAAGACUCCAGAUUACACUGGGUACUCUGCAUACAGUAAUUACCCUGAUACUUCUUAUCCUCAGCGUUCGUAUCAAGGAGGAGAAAAUAGUCAAGGUGGGUAUGCCGCCAGCGCUCCUAAACCCGGCCAGCAAGGCUUUGAUUUCAAAGAGUGGCCCACCUCAUGACCAUUUUAAUUAACUCGAGUUGGAGAGAUGCGCUGAAUGGCUUGGCCUUGCUCGUGGGUUAUUUCUUCAUAUUCAAGAUAAACGCAAACUGUAUGUUGAUCGUGAAAUCUGCGCCAUGACAUGAGACAUUCUUCUGUCGAUUCACGUUUCUUAAGCAUUAGAAAUGCCAUUUAGAGGAAGAUACCUGUCAUUUAGAGAAAUUUGGCACUAUGUAUUUUUGUAGAAACCAGCCAAUUAGAGUUAUGAUUAGUUGUACAAUAAAAUACUCGAUAAAAAAGUCGCUAAGAUCUGCAAACAAAAUCGACGACAAAAAGCAAAGUGUCUCUUGUUCAUGCCAGCAUGUCGUUCGCGAGCGGUCGAAUUAACGGAUACCUUUUUUUUGAUAAUAUCGAAACACAUCUUGUAAACUUGGCCAACGGAAGUAUCAAAGAAGGAGUUUAAGGCUUUUUUCAGAUAUUGAUUUCUUCAUUGAUCGCUCGUGAGAACGGCUCACGAUCUUUCUGGAUAAAGAAUAUAAAUUAAAUAUUCAUUGUUAAGUAAAAUAAACAAAUCGACAGUGUUAGGGUACAUACCCAUGAUGCAAGUGAAGUUUGUAUGGCACUGGGAAAUAGACGAAAGGAAGCGCGAUAUUAAAUUGUAAAAAUACAAAUAAUGUGCUAAAAAAAGAUUCUAAAGUGUGUAAACAAAGUAAAAGCGAGCGUAAAGAAUCAGGAAUGCUAAUCAUUUAAUCGUUAAUGGCAUUUAUUAUGGAGGUGAAUAAGUUUUCGUUCGAGAAGAAAUUCUUCUCAAGGCAAGCACAAAAUUAGAUGCUUGUUCACUUCCUAAUCGUUAGCAGACACGGUAUAUGUAACACAGAUGAUAAGAAUAAACGAAAAGAAAUAUUUAAACUAUGGUCUCUGAUGGAAAGUCAGCGCGAAUGACUUGCACAUUCGAGACACUCGUCCCUCCACGAUCUUGUAUUUAUUAAAUAGUUGUUAUUACCGGAUAAUUGAAGAAAAAAAGAAAAAUGAUAUAACGAGAUAAUUGACGAGAUAAUUAAGUAAGACGAUCACACAGGCUGACUACAGAGAAUAGUGUAAAAUAUAUAGAACAUUUUAAUAUGGUGUAUGUAUAUCUAUAUAAAUCUUUGACACACAGCAGCAGGAUGCGAUUUCUGUAGGCGUCCUUUUUUUUACUUUCAUGUCAUAUCACUAGUAAUAUCUUAAAUACGUAUUUUCCUCAGUUCCUUUUUUCUCUUUUUUCUUGUUUACUGAUACUUUGAAUACUGAUUCCUUAAAUUAGUUUAGCAAGCUGCUUUCCUAUUCUUCCAACGAUUUGGAAAUGAUAUCAACGCGCGAAAUGGGAGGGGACAAGGAGAAAAGAAAACCCGACAAACAAUCAUAAAUAUUUUUACAAAUUGUAUUAUAAGAACUUAGUGUGUGGCCGUCGGACUGGCUUCUGUUCGACCAUACUGUAAUGCACGUGGAAACUGGUUUAUUUUUUACCUCCGAUUUAUAAUACUAUUAGGCACGUUUAAGGCUACGAUUAUUAUUGUUACUAUUAAUUCUAUAUUAUUAUUACUAUUGUAUACAACUAUUAUUACUAUUAAUACUUAUCACUGUUUACUCUUGCUAUAUUGCUACUACUGCAAGUACUACAACUGCACUAUUACUAUUACACUAUCAUUACUGUCGACGAUAAUUAUGAAAUAUGCGAUGAUGCUUAUAAGUGUUUAAAUUUUAGAUCAGUAGAACGAGAUCAUUGAUAGAUAAGGUGGAGGGAGGGGUAUAUUGUAAUCGUGUGGAUAUGUCUCGGUGGGGGAUAUCGACCUGAAAAGUUUACCUGAUUAAAUAUAUGACUUAAUUGUAUUUACUCUGUAGGAUUUACCAUAGAUCUAAACGAGGAAUAUUUCGGAAGAGUGCUCUCCAAAUGCUCAUGUUUAAUUACCGAGCGGGUCGCGUUGUGUCUUACUUUAUCGAUGAGAAUGGCGAGUAUUAUGCUAAUGUAUAAUUCACCAAGAUAGACCUUAUAUACCACACGUAAAGGUGUAAUUAAAUAGAUUACGGUUACAGAAUCCAGCAAUUUCGUUAAGCGUUAUAAAUGUGAUCUCAUAUAACGUAAUUUUACUAUUGCCCAUAAUUUUUUUUUCCUUGUCCAUCGAACGACAGUGUAAGGCUUCAUUGUAUCUUAAGUGCAAAACGAUCGACUGCUAAUUUAAUUUUUCUUCGCAUUCUUUCCGUUAUUCAUUUCGCUGUUUCAUGUCAUUAGUGCUUGUUACGCAUCCUGACAAUAAAGUGUUGAAUCGCGUUGCAUUCAAAGCUGUAGAAUAAGCCAAUCUUUUUUUUUACGACUGUAUUUAUUACCGGGGUAUAUCGAUCGACGUAUCGAUUUCGAAUUUAGAAACCACUUUGCAUUUUGUUAGAAAUCUUAUAAUGGUAACUUCUCUUUUUCGUCUGCGACGAAAUGUAUCGCAGAGAAAAAGCCGGUGUUGUACACGCCAAUCGGAUGAAGAAAAAAAAACGAGUGCAAUGUUAACAAACGCGACUCGUGUGAACUUUUGGGAUCAACGCAAUAACACAAUUAACUAAACACAUAACGAAACAAAAGUGCGAACUAGAGAGCUCAAUCAAACAACCAAUUUUACACCCUAAUUAUUAUGAUAAUACAAAGGAAACAGAUAAACGAUAUACACUCAUGAAUACGUAUUCACACACAGACACACACAUACUUUUACCUCUAAACGCGCAAAAUAAGCAAACUAAUUAACCUUUUAGCGCUGCGGCUGUUCUAAAAUUUUUAAUAAAUAAAAUUAAAAUGCAUUAUAUUUAUAUAAAUUCAUUAUAUUUUAAGUCCUAUAUUGUAAAUAAAAUUUCAAUACAUAUAUACAAUGUAACGAUGUCAAAUUUUAGUAAGAAGACAGAGUUUCGAUGUUGAUUUACUUAAACUUUUAUUUGCCUCUACUCAAUUUGGAUUGAGAACUUCUAUAAAAGCAAAUCCUAAUUUUCAAUUUUAGUUUUUAAUCCCGGAAAAAAAAUAUAUUUACAGCGUUUGCAAACUAAAGGGUUAAAUAGUUAACAUAUUAUCGAACAUUCAAGCGAUAAAUUCGUAAGGGAAAAAUAUAUAAAUGAAAACGUGAUGAAAAAACACUAUGGUUGUUCUAAAUAAAUAACGCGUUAUUUAAUACCUAACUUGCAAAGGAGGGAGCGGCAAAUAAGCGACGUGUUUUAUCUACGGCUGUUUUUUACAAUUUAUUUUAUAGAGAAUAAAUACCGAUAAAUAACGAUGCGGAAUAAGAACCUUUAUAGUGUAUCAAUUAUAAUUAUUACAACUAAUAUUGUAUUCCUUACUAUUAUCGAUUUUUAACUAAAGUUAAAGCGUGAAUUUUAAAGUCUUAAGUGUAUGCGAGGUGUUAAGGAAAUGCGAUUAUUACAUUUGAUUUGUACAGGACACUUAAGUAUAAUCGAUGCGUUUGGUAUGAGGAUUGGUAUAAACGAGCUAAUUAAUUUAUUAUAUUAACGAGUCUCAGACGGAUAAAAGUAAAUUUAAAUAUUAGCGCGGAGACGGGGGAGGGAAAAAAAAGAAAGGAUUACAAAGAGUUAAUGGCUACAACUAUAUGUACAUACAAAAUAUUUUAGAUUAUGAGACGGUAAUAUAGUUGGGAGAAGGAAGCGGAAGCGGUGGCGCAAAUGAAAUUUAAAAAACACACAAAACGAAGGCAGGACGAAGGAGGCUUUAGAGCGGGACUAUUCGAAUAUAAUUGACGAUUACUAAUUAUAACAGAUAAUAUAUUUAUAUUCAACGCAAUAUUAUUAGUAUUUUUAAAUACAGAAAUGACGCAUCUAAUUAAUGUAACAGAUAGCAUAUAGGGAAGAUAUACUUUGAUUUUAGCCGUUGUUACUACCUGCCUCAUUCGCGGUUUUCGCGAACUGUGCGGCUUGCUCUCAGGGUUGUUGUUGUUCUUUUUUUUUUAUUAUUGUUUCUUUGAGCUCUUUUUUUCCUCCCUGUCUUAUGUUUAUCUACUCUUACUGCUCUGAAUCGCUCGUAUUUAUUUCGUUUUUAAAGGAAGGCACUUUACAUGCCGAGUAUCCUGUAAGGAAACCCUAGGUUCAGUAUUGAAACGCCUUUAUUGCGAUACUUUCGACAAUCCGUCAUCUUUAUUUAAGUAGAUCGAGGCAUCCCUCAUUUCUGUUCUAUAUGGGACAUUAAACACGUUUAAAAGAUAUCUUUGUAUUCGACAUCUGCUACAGAUCAUUAGGUUUCUUAUUCUAUAUGACAAUCAUGACUUUGAGAAACGGGGAGAGCGAAUUGAGUAUUGUAUAUAUUUUUAAAACAUUUUUCUUAAAAAUGAAACAAUUUUUUUGGUAAAAUUAUUACUGUUGGAUUAAAAAUAUUAUCUAUUUGGGUUGCUUAUAAAAAAUUCGUUUUACUGCUUAUAAGAAGUUUGACUGUUAGAACUUUUUUAGAUUUCAAUUAAUUUGUUUUUAUUUCUUUGCGGUGUUACGUAUGCUUGCAAAAGAGCUGCAAAUUUCAGCAGUUUUACUUGUUUUUUUUUUAUUAAUGCUAAACUAAUCAUCGUGCCAGUUUUCGCAAUUUAUAAAUUAUGAUGACUUUCCAUAAUUGUAAAGAACGUAUCCGUAAUUGUAAUCUCUUAUUUCAUUUCUUAAAUAAAAAAUGAGAAAUUUUAUUAUUUUUUCACACACACACACACACACACAACGUACACGCACACAUACACAUACACACAAACACACACAUGUAUCUGUAAAUGCCUCUCUCCGUUUUUCAUGCAUUUAGACGAUUUCGUGUUAAACUAUUUUUUCAACGUACAGUCGGAGCGAAACACAGCAUAUAUAAAGAAGGAAACUAUAAAUAUUACAGCCACUAAGUUAAGUCGUUGGUUUUUUCUCUAUUAACUUAAUUAGAUAAUAUGUGGAUUCAUCUUUGUUCAUCCUACAAGCGAAUGCGUAGCAUGCGAGUUAGAUUUUUUUUGCCAAGCAAGUUAAGUAUUUCGAUAUUUAAAGAAAUGUCCUUAAAUGUAUAAAUAAUUCCGGGGACGUCGCGAAAUGUCUGUUUUUAACGUUAAGCGCACGUUUUAUCGUCCCGCACACUAAAGACUGGUCGUAUAAUUAAAUAUUACACUUAACUACUUAUUACUCGUAUCGUAACUCCAUCGUGGAAAAAACACUUUCUAUUGAUAUACAUGAGUUUCUCCUGCCGUUUUUAAUUAUUAUAAUAUAUGUGUCUUAGUUUGGUACCGCAAUGUGUAAUCAUUGGCUGUUGCAUUUUCAUCAAAGCGAUUGUUAAUCUUUAAAAUUGCGAACAUCGCGCAGUUCCUCUUCUUUAUUAUUAUUUUUAUUAUUACCAUAGUGCACCAUAAUCUCUCCAACGGAAUCGCGUCGUUCAAUAGCAGAUAGGUAAGACCGAUAUUAGACAGGGUGGGCAUUUAUCUGCCGAUAAACCGUGAGAUCUGGUCGAGAAACGAACAUUAUAGUGCAGCCGCGAUAACGCGUCAAAUUAAUCGAGAGAAGAAGGACACAUUUUCGGCGAUAAGGUAUCGUUUCGUCACUGCCUGAGUCUACUCUUUGUCAAAUCGAUCUUGCUUCGUUUCGGAUAAUUGAAUAUCGACACAACGUAAUUUUCGCGAAGAACCGAAAACAAAUAUCGACGUACGAUUCCCCUCGGAAAUCUCGACAAGACCAAAACCUUAUUAUUAGCCUGCUUUUUCUUUAGCUGUAUUAAGACAAUGCGUGAGGUCAGAUAAUAAAGAAGAGGCCGCCGGUAUAUAUUGUACUCAGGUAGUGUGAUAAUCGCUCGCACGUGCGGGCGCGAGUAUAAGGCAGUAAAAAAAAAUAAUAAUAAUUUCAAAUGAGACAAAGCUGAUUAAUAUAAGAGACAAAUGUGUUAUACACACACGAGAUAUAUUCUAAAUUACGUUUACAUAGAAGCAGUUAAGGCAUUAAAUUAUAAUUACAAGGUGAUUUUCUCUCCUGCGAGUCUGAUAGGACAAGGUAAUUAUUGUCUUAAACGUAUAUAGUAAUGCGAAAAACAAUGUAGAGAUUUAAACAAGUGAGUUUUAUAUAAGGGAAAAUUCUAAAAUAUGUUUAUGUUAAGGUUUGUGCAGCGGGCUGAUAUUUCAAUCGUUACGAGAGGAGAAAAGAUGAGAGAAGGAGGAAUUGAGAGGCCGCCUUAGCGGGAUAAAUCACACGCAAGACAGUCUAUACUCUAUCCACGAUUCUUACACACACACGCACACAAUCCAAUGAUCCGAAAAUACACAGUACUGAGAAGUAAUGAGUGUAUCGGGAGAGUGAUCAGCGAUUUUUAACAAACAAAAAAAACCACGAGUGCAUUAGCGAAUUGGGCAAGUUAGCUAGGAGAUGAAACGAAUAAAUAAAGUCCUAUAAAACGUAUAAUUAUUUUGAUCAUCGAAUCUUGAGGCACGUGAUCGAGAGACUUAAUGAUUCUCAGAUCUUAUUAGAUUGCUUUGAGAGCCACUAAUACAAAAAAAAAA